Frankliniella occidentalis (western flower thrips) is the source of this 608-nucleotide long non-coding RNA. RefSeq lists it as uncharacterized. The transcript has 2 exons. The record is from RefSeq and is a predicted model, not a curated record. NCBI's taxonomy places the organism in Eukaryota, Metazoa, Arthropoda, Insecta, Thysanoptera, Thripidae.
UCUGCCUGGUGAACGACUCCCAGCUGGACGAGAUGAGGUACGUGUGCAGCUCGUGCGGCAAGGCCUACAAGCACACGCAGAGCCUCUGGACGCACCAGCGCUUCGAGUGCGGCAAGCCGCCGUCCUUCUGCUGCCCUUGCUGCCCGCAGCGCUUCAAGCGAGCCGGCCACCUGCGCCGCCACGUGACGGUGGUGCACGGCGUGCUCGGCACGGGCGAGCGCAGCUAGCGCCUGCAGAUUGGUUCGAGAUUGCUCCCCCGCCGGCAGAGGCGUCGCCCUUUGUCCUGGCCCAGCCCGGCUACUCAGGCGGCGGCGGCGGCGGCGGCGGGCCCCACGGCAACCCCCACCUGGCCGCCCUGUCCCAGCCCACCCCCGGCGUGGGCUACAGCUGCCCGACCUGCGGCAAGACGUACCGACACCAGCCCAGCCUGUGGAAGCACCGCCGGUACGAGUGCGGCCAGGUGCCCCAGUUCCAGUGCCCGCUGUGCCCGCACCGCGCCAAGCGGAAGCACCACCUCGUCUACCACCUGCAGGCGCGCCACGGCAAGGCGCCCUAGCCCGCGCCCUAGCCCGCCUCUUGGUCCUGUUCAAUAAAGCGUGUUCCUUCAA